AAAGCUUGCUACAGUAUCCGGAUAUGGAUCACGAGUCCAGUCACCGCGCGGCCGCAGGCCGUGCAGCGCCGCGUGCGCGCCUCGCCGCCACGCAGCUGCUUGCCGGCCGCGUCACCGCGCGACGUGGACGCCCGUGACCUCUGCGUCUCGACCUCUUGAGCGCCUGCGCGGCCGACCUCGAGCUCACUUACUCCGGCGACCGAAAGCACCCAGUGAAGCUCCACCGUCCAAUACCCUCUACACGCAACCCCUCUGGCCAAUUCGAGUUCUCCAACACCUUCGCCAUAUCCUUGCGAACCCCGUGUACGCCCAGGAACCCUCCCUGCCCCUCUCAAUCGCCCGGGCGCCGUCUUUCUUCCUCAGCUCCGGCUGAAAACGCCGCCGAGGAGCACCUCAACGUGGACAGGCCACCUCGAGCCAUUGCAGGACAAGAUACGGCCACCAUCAGGUGCGCACUAGUCCGGGCGAGCUUCCCCGCUGCUCCAAUGCCGCCGACGAGCACUCCAGCGCCGAAACCACGAUCUCCGGCGAGUUCCUCUGUUUUCAGUCGCGGCCAGGGACUUCGGGCGACAAUUUGAAGUUUCCCAGGGGUCUAAUUGCAGAGACUGUGACUCAGGUGAAUAGUGCUAUAAGGACUUGUUUGUAGAUGUUUUGUUGAAUCUUUAAAAAUUCAUAUCUAGAGUUUGGUAGCUCCAAUUUUGGUGAACCAAAUUUUGUUGUGCUCCUUGAGAUGUCUAGUUUUUAUUAAAAAUAUGAAACUGACCAUGUUUUGUAGUAAAAUAAUUGGUUAUGAUUUAUGCCUUUUAAUUAUGUUUAAAAAAGGAGAAAUUCAUAUCUUAUUCUGUGUAGAUCCUAUUGCCCUGAAAUUUUUAUGGUGUUCUCAUGAUGUUAUGUGAAUGUUGCAGUAAAAAUUUCAUGUUCAGUAAAUGAUAUAUGGUUAAGUUAUUAAUUUAUCUUAUUUAAUGCUUAUUAAAUAGUUUAAAAUUAAACUAAAAAUAAAUAAAUGUAAAAUAUGGUUCCACUGCCUUUAUAUGAGGUCUUUAUAUCAUACAAAUACAUAAUUUAGCUAUGUGUUUGUAGAAAAUGUCGAGUUUCUUAUUUAUCUUGAUGCUACAUGCUUUCUUGUGAUGGAAAUUUAUCUUUUUCAUGGAAAUUGCUAUACUUAUACAAAUGGUAUGAAAUUUAUACAGUAGACUUUGGAGAGCAUAUAUGUGCUUCUGUAGUUUUCUCAGAUUUUAUUGUGUACUUUUGAUAUAUGGUUAUUACUUUGUCUAUUUAUCUAAAUAAAUUAAUAAAGACAUAAAAAGAAUUUAUUUAGGGAUGACCAUGAUAUUUUCUAGUAUCUCUUUGAUGUAUUUCAACUUUUGGUGAGCUGGGUUUUGCCCAGGUUCAAGUUUGGAACAUAAAUGAAAUAUGAUUUCUCUAUAAUUUAAUUGUUAGUGGUUUCUUGAUAGUUUUUAGAGCAUUAUGAAUUUCUCUAGGUAAAUAAUGUUGGAUAUGAAACUUGUCUAUAACAAAGUUGUAUAGAAUUCAUGUAUCUAGCUGGUGUUAAAUUUUGGUGGCAUUUGGCUCUAUAGUUUCUGAGUUAUGCCUGUUUAAAUUUAAGUUUCAGAAAUGGUUUCUUUCUGUCAAAUCCUGGAUCAGUUUCUGUAGUUGUGCAAUUUCAACCUACUAAACUUAUGAAUUAUGUUUUCAUGAUAAAAGAUGAAUUGUAGUAAUUUUCAUAAGCUUUCCAAAAUGUUAUGGAUCAUGAAUUUUGAUGAUCUAGAACUCUGGUUAUAGAUGUAUGAAUCUUAAUGUCUGAUUCUGUCCAAGGUCUGGACAGAAUUGUUUAUUCAUACUGUUUGGCCAUGUUAUCUAUUAAAUCAGUUCUCGAAGAUAAUAAUAAAGUUGUAGAAAAUUAUAUAAGCUUUCCAGAAAGUCUAAUAUCACCUUUAUUGGAUGCUUGGAUCUCUAAUUAUGGUUGAAUAAAGUUGUGUAUAUGCUGCUGUCCUGGUUAUGUUGGUAAAUAGAGUUGAUUGUUUUAGCUAGCCUUUACUUAAAUAAUGAUUAGCUUAAUUUCCAAAUUAGAAUUUGAGUGCUUUUGGGAUUAUGUGAUGACCUGAGGUCAUUAUCUUUUAAUGACCUUUGGCACUUAAUUAUUGUUUGAUGUUAAUACUUAAUUAUUGUCUUUAAUAUUUAAUUAAGAAUUUAUUAAGAUAAAUAGAAAGCAUAAUCAUUUUAGGUUUUGAUUGAUCUUUGGGAUUGAUUGAUAACCAGUGGCUACUUGACAUGAUAUGCUCCCUGGUUAAGGAUUCUUUCAUGUAAAUGAUCUUUGUUGCUUAAUAACUACACAACAUUGCUUAAUGAAGAUGAUAAAAUUUGCUUAGUAGUAAUCUAUGCUUUGAUAACUAAGUUAGUUUGUUUCUAUACCAUGAAGGUGAGUUGUACUCGAGGUAGUUUUGUUUGUUGUUAUCAUCCAAGAACAUGUAACCUGUCUUUAUCAUGUCAUGAGCAUCUCAUUGAUCAUGCAUAUGCACCUCUACGUGUAGACUACGCUCCAGAGGAAUCUGAUCCUCAGUGGGUUGCUUCCGAGUUUGUGGGUCCAUCUGGUUUUGCUGAGUUGUCGGACUUCCCUUCCGGUCAAGGCAAGCCCCGGACAUUAAACCCUAUCCUUGUAUUUUCAUAAAGUUAUUUAUAUCACUUGAGUUAAUAUGAUGCAUUAGGUGAAUAGGAGUUGAGUGAAUCCUAUUUGCUGCAUUAUCUACCUUGAUGAUUUCCAUAUUAACCUUGAUACCUGCUUUAUGAAAAUGCUUAGUAUGCUUAGCCCUGCUUAUUAGAUAAGUUUUCAAAUGAGAACGUUUGAAGGGUCGUUGUGGAAUACUGUUAUGGUUAAUAAUGUUUAAACUUGAGACCGGUCGGUGGACUUGCUUUAAGAAUGGAGUCUUAAAGUAGUGUCUCCAACUGUGUCGAUUAAGGACCGUACCGUUGAUUGGCCUGUUGUGAUUGAGAACUUUGAGUACAGCCCACAUGCGGCGGUAAGCCUUACCUAUAGCUAUUCCGAUACUUGAGAACGGCUAACCGCGUACUGGGAGUGGAAAGAUGGCGAGAGUAGCGUGUACCCACCUUACGGAUCUGAGAUGACCGGGAAACAUCUAGAUUGGCUGUAGGAUGGUGGUGUACUGUACUCUCGGGUGACGCUGGACCCGUUCUUGUAUGGGAGGAUCUAUAGAAAAGGUUGACAUAUGCAAGAUUAAGUUCUACAUAUGUCGUGUGGUACUGAAUCCCCAGCUGGGUUUAAUCGAUUCGAAUCGCCGUGUUUCCUCGGAUAUGGAGCCUCAAUCCUCACACCAUCAUCGUAGUAACAAGUGAAUCUUUGGUAUAAGAAAGAUGUGGUAUACUUAUGCAAGUUUGAUAAUAGUUUUGGUUAGUCAUAAAUGAUAACCUUGAGUUAAAACUUGAAAGUAGGUUUAAUCUUAGUAAGCUUUUAUGCAAAAGAAAUGCUUUGAUCUUGCUAAAGCUUUACCUUGAAUCCCUAUAGCCUGCAUACCUGAGUCUUCACCUCUUUUCUAGUCGGUUAAGUCUUGUUGAGUACUUUUGUACUCAGGGUUUUAUAACCCCUGUUGCAGGUGCUGACUUAGACUGCUAAUGGAGGUCAUGUCGGUGGGCGCGACAUGAUUUAUCCACCUCUUCUACCUUAGAAGCUUCACCUAAGAUGCUUCCGCUACUCUAUACACCUUUUGGAAAUUUAGUUAAGUUUAUACUUCAUCAUAUGUUGUAAAUUAAGUUAUAAAUCUUCCGCACUCUGAUGUAAGUUAUUUUUGUAACAAAUGUUGUAAUGUUGUGGUAACUCCAUGUUGAUCCUGUAUGAGAUAAAAUGUGGAUGAUUCGGGGUCCUCCGAGGAUACCCGACAAACUUCUUGAGUCAUUUGGAACUCGUGCAUGCCGAUCACAAGUCUUGGAGACAAUGAUGGGUGCAUGUGGGCCACUUAAUUCAGGAGGUUCUGCCACAGCUGGUAUCAGAGCUCAUACAUGGAUCUUCUGCAACAUUACUUGUGAAAAAUUUCAAAAGGAAUUUACAAAUUAAAAGUUUUGAGGAUAACAACUUAUAAAUAUUCCUUAACUUUUCUUAUGCUUGCUGUUCGGGUUCUACGAAGACUUUCUGCUGACUCAAAUAGAAGACAUUAAAAGAGGCUUCAAGUCUUCGACAAGCCAAGUAAAGAAUCAAACUACUCCAACAAUGCUUUGUCAACAGUCUUGCAGCCUCCCUUUUGAAGCAAUAAAGAUAGUGUAUAAAGUAUGCCCUAUAUAAGCAAUUAUCUCCUAGCUAACGUUGUAAAGACGUAUGGGACGAGCAUAUUGCAUAUCUUGCAUAACAUGACAAUAUAAUGAUACUUAAAAGCCCCUCCUUAUGCUUCAAAACAGUUAUUAUUCGUUAUAGCUGUUUUAUUGAUGAAUCUCAUCAUGUACCAGGUUUCGUUAACUGAUUGAUAAUCUUUUACUCCAUAAGAUCCUAAUCCUUGAUUCAUUUGUUAUGCAUGUGACCUUCCUUGAUUUCAUCUAAUUCGGACACAUGCUACCUCCUUGAUAUCUUUUGUCAACAUUUUUGUUGAUUGAAUGUCACUAUGAUUGUGUCCUCUUAAGGUACCAUGACUUGUGACUUAGGUAACAAUGUCAAAACCUGGGAUCUCCUAUGGCUCAUGACCAUGAGGAAAUACUGCUGGGCGCUCAUUGUUAUCAAAGUAUAUGAUCAUGAUCCCUUAUAGUCCACAAUUAGGGUGUUUCAUUCUUUGGACACUCCUUAGGGAUUCAAAGUUGUCCUUUUGAGUUCCCUAAACACCUUGUGAUUGUGAUCGACUUUUGAUCUCAGUUACAUUCUUGGUCUUGUGAGACAUGGGUUAUUGUUGUGGUGCCCUAUAGUGGUGCCAUGUCCCGUGACCACGGUGCCGCGUCGGAACCUAGAGUCUUUUGUGUGUCCGGAUGACACAAAUUUCUACUGGGCGCGUGCAGGUAUCGAGGUUAUGGACAUGAUCCAUUAUAGCCCCACAACUAAGGUGCCCUCGCUCUUUGAGCCCUAUCAUGGGAACCCAUGCCCAUAUCUUUGUGGGAAUUACCUAAAGCCCCUGACUUGGAUAACCAACAUAUGUUGCUUGAAAGCUAUUGUAACUGUACUCUAUAGUAGGUACCAUGAUCCGUGAUCACGUUAUAGCGUCGAACCUCGUAGUCUCCUGUGGACUGCAGCCAUAAGGAAAUACUACAGGGUGCUCGUUAAACAUCGGGAUCUCUGGUCAUGCUCCACUAUAAUCUACUGUUAGUGUGCUUUCAUCCUCCUUGGAAGCUCAUUUGGAGAUUCAUAUCUUCGUAUGAAUUCUCUAAAAUUCCUGAUUGAUUACAACUUCUUGUUGAUCUUAGUUGUAAUUCUUGGACCAAUCGUAAUUGUUGUAUGAACUUCUCAAAAGUUAAUGUGCUUGACACAUUUCCUUUUCCAUUACUUAACCCCAUGGGUUUUAGUACCCUGGAAAUCUCGGGACGAGAUUUCUUUAAGGGGGAAGGGCUGUAACAUCCCUGAUGUUACGAACACUAAAACUGGAUCAUGUCAUCAUAAGCAUUGCAAAGCAUAUUUGUUAAGCACAUUAUUAUGCAUCAACUUAAAAUAAGGUUAUUUUGGUUGAUUGUGCUUAGGAAAUUAAAGUGUGCUUAUAUUGUGUAUGGAUGUUUGUGUUGGUGAUUAAAACCCUGGGUGGAAGUUUUUCCGAAAGACUUAAGGGGGGAAACCCUAGUUUCCAAAACCCUAGAAUUUGUCCCCUUUUGUGCAAUUCAAAAACAAAGCAAAAUUUGAAGUUGAGUUCAAAAGCAAAGUUGUAAAUCUUGUCAAGAUGUACAACUUUGGUGUUUUGAGUUUUUGAAGUUUCAGUACAAAAUUUAAAGUAAUUUUGAAAAUACAAUUUUCCAGAAAUUGUUCCCUUUUCCGAUUUGAAUCCCCAAUUCAAAAUCUAUUUGGAAUUUUGAAAAGUGGUCAACAUGAAAGUUGUAGGGCUCAAAAAGUUGAACAACUUUCAUGUUGGGAGUUUUUCAAGUUGUUUGGAAAAAUUAAAAGUAAUUUUGGAAAUUCUAAUCUGCUCCAAUUCAAAAUUUGGAAUUUCCCCAAUUUGGGAUUUUGAAAUUCAAACUGUUUUGCCAAAUUCACACUUUUCCACUCAGAUUUAGCUUUGGUCACCAAAAGGAGUUUUGUAGCUUGUAAAAUUCUUCACAACUUCCAUUUUGGUGGAAUUUUGUCUUCAGUUCAAAAUUUGGACGAAUUUUGCAAAACCACAAAACUGGUUGGAUAAAGCUUGCUACAGUAUCCGGAUAUGGAUCACGAGUCCAGUCACCGCGCGGCCGCAGGCCGUGCAGCGCCGCGUGCGCGCCUCGCCGCCACGCAGCUGCUUGCCGGCCGCGUCACCGCGCGACGUGGACGCCCGUGACCUCUGCGUCUCGACCUCUUGAGCGCCUGCGCGGCCGACCUCGAGCUCACUUACUCCGGCGACCGAAAGCACCCAGUGAAGCUCCACCGUCCAAUACCCUCUACACGCAACCCCUCUGGCCAAUUCGAGUUCUCCAACACCUUCGCCAUAUCCUUGCGAACCCCGUGUACGCCCAGGAACCCUCCCUGCCCCUCUCAAUCGCCCGGGCGCCGUCUUUCUUCCUCAGCUCCGGCUGAAAACGCCGCCGAGGAGCACCUCAACGUGGACAGGCCACCUCGAGCCAUUGCAGGACAAGCUACGGCCACCAUCAGGUGCGCACUAGUCCGGGCGAGCUUCCCCGCUGCUCCAAUGCCGCCGACGAGCACUCCAGCGCCGAAACCACGAUCUCCGGCGAGUUCCUCUGUUUUCAGUCGCGGCCAGGGACUUCGGGCGACAAUUUGAAGUUUCCCAGGGGUCUAAUUGCAGAGACUGUGACUCAGGUGAAUAGUGCUAUAAGGACUUGUUUGUAGAUGUUUUGUUGAAUCUUUAAAAAUUCAUAUCUAGAGUUUGGUAGCUCCAAUUUUGGUGAACCAAAUUUUGUUGUGCUCCUUGAGAUGUCUAGUUUUUAUUAAAAAUAUGAAACUGACC
Molecule: long non-coding RNA, 7070 nt
Filed under: Sorghum bicolor (sorghum)
Lineage: Eukaryota; Viridiplantae; Streptophyta; Magnoliopsida; Poales; Poaceae
Description: long non-coding RNA (SBIC_LNC018380)
Source: RNAcentral